CUACGGGAGGCAGCAGUGGGGAAUUUUGGACAAUGGGGGCAACCCUGAUCCAGCAAUGCCGCGUGUGUGAAGAAGGCCUUCGGGUUGUAAAGCACUUUUGUCCGGAAAGAAAACCUCUGUCCUAAUACGGUGGGAGGAUGACGGUACCGGAAGAAUAAGCACCGGCUAACUACGUGCCAGCAGCCGCGGUAAUACGUAGGGUGCGAGCGUUAAUCGGAAUUACUGGGCGUAAAGCGUGCGCAGGCGGUUCGCUAAGACCGAUGUGAAAUCCCCGGGCUUAACCUGGGAACUGCAUUGGUGACUGGCGGGCUAGAGUAUGGCAGAGGGGGGUAGAAUUCCACGUGUAGCAGUGAAAUGCGUAGAGAUGUGGAGGAAUACCGAUGGCGAAGGCAGCCCCCUGGGCCAAUACUGACGCUCAUGCACGAAAGCGUGGGGAGCAAACAGGAUUAGAUACCCUGGUAGUCCACGCCCUAAACGAUGUCAACUAGUUGUCGGGUCUUCAUUGACUUGGUAACGUAGCUAACGCGUGAAGUUGACCGCCUGGGGAGUACGGUCGCAAGAUUAAAACUCAAAGGAAUUGACGGGGACCCGCACAAGCGGUGGAUGAUGUGGAUUAAUUCGAUGCAACGCGAAAAACCUUACCUACCCUUGACAUGUACGGAACCUUGCCGAGAGGUGAGGGUGCCCGAAAGGGAGCCGUAACACAGGUGCUGCA
RNAcentral lists this ribosomal RNA (715 nucleotides) under Paraburkholderia sp. RNAcentral's name for it is "bacterial SSU rRNA". It matches the Rfam family "Bacterial small subunit ribosomal RNA", at positions 339 to 1045 of the family's 1533-position model. Lineage: Bacteria; Pseudomonadati; Pseudomonadota; Betaproteobacteria; Burkholderiales; Burkholderiaceae. The record is from RNAcentral.